RNAcentral lists this ribosomal RNA (483 nucleotides) under uncultured Verrucomicrobiaceae bacterium. RNAcentral describes it as "bacterial SSU rRNA". It matches the Rfam family "Bacterial small subunit ribosomal RNA", at positions 29 to 505 of the family's 1533-position model. The record is from RNAcentral. Lineage: Bacteria; Pseudomonadati; Verrucomicrobiota; Verrucomicrobiia; Verrucomicrobiales; Verrucomicrobiaceae.
AACGAACGCUGGCGGCGUGGAUAAGACAUGCAAGUCGAACGAGAACUACGAAUAGCUUGCUAAUUGUAGUUCUAGUGGCGGACGGGUGCGUAACACGUGAGCAACCUACCCUAAAGUGGGGGAUAGCCCGAGGAAACUCGGAUUAAUACCGCAUGUGAUCUUCGGAUCAAAGAUGGCUUCGGCUGUCGCUUUGGGAUGGGCUCGCGGCCUAUCAGCUUGUUGGUGAGGUAACGGCUCACCAAGGCGACGACGGGUAGCUGGUCUGAGAGGACGAUCAGCCUCACUGGAACUGAGACACGGUCCAGACACCUACGGGUGGCAGCAGUCGAGAAUCAUUCACAAUGGACGAAAGUCUGAUGGUGCAACGCCGCGUGGAGGAUGAAGGCCCUAGGGUCGUAAACUCCUGUCAUCAGGGAGUAAGUCUUAGUCGUUAAUAGCUUCUAAGAUUGAUAGUACCUGAAGAGGAAGGGACGGCUAACUUCG